RNAcentral lists this ribosomal RNA (446 nucleotides) under uncultured bacterium. RNAcentral describes it as "partial 16S ribosomal RNA". It matches the Rfam family "Bacterial small subunit ribosomal RNA", at positions 330 to 793 of the family's 1533-position model. The record is from RNAcentral.
CCCAGACUCCUACGGGAGGCAGCAGUGGGGAAUAUUGCACAAUGGGGGGAACCCUGAUGCAGCGACGCCGCGUGGGUGAAGGAGCACCUCGGUGCGUAAAGCCCUAUCGGCAGGGGAGAAACAGACGGUACCUGACUAAGAAGCCCCGGCUAACUACGUGCCAGCAGCCGCGGUAAUACGUAGGGGGCAAGCGUUAUCCGGAUUCACUGGGUGUAAAGGGAGCGUAGACGGCGACGCAAGUCUGGAGUGAAAGCCCGGGGCCCAACCCCGGGACUGCUCUGGAAACUGCGGCGCUGGAGUGCGGGAGGGGCAGGCGGAAUUCCUGGUGUAGCGGUGAAAUGCGUAGAUAUCAGGAGGAACACCGGCGGCGAAGGCGGCCUGCUGGACCGUGACUGACGUUGAGGCUCGAGAGCGUGGGGAGCAAACAGGAGUAGAUACCCUCGUAA